This 497-nucleotide ribosomal RNA is filed under the name uncultured bacterium. Its description in RNAcentral is "partial 16S ribosomal RNA". It matches the Rfam family "Bacterial small subunit ribosomal RNA", at positions 28 to 507 of the family's 1533-position model. The record is from RNAcentral.
GAUGAACGCUGGCGGCGUGCCUAAUACAUGCAAGUCGAGCGAACAGACGAGGAGCUUGCUCCUUUGACGUUAGCGGCGGACGGGUGAUUAACACGUGGUUAACCUACCUAUAAGACUGGGAUAACUUCGGGAAACCGGAUCUAAUACCGGAUAAUAUUUCGAACCGCAUGGUUCGAUAGUGAAAGAUGGCUUUGCUAUCGCUUAUAGAUGGACCUGCGCCGUAUUAUCUAGUUGGUAAGGUAACUGCUUACCAAGGCAACGAUUCGUAGCCGACCUGAGAGGGUGAUCGGCCACACUGGAACUGAGACACGGUCCAGACUCCUACGGGAGGCAGCAGUAGGGAAUCUUACGCAAUGGGGGAAAGCCUGACGGAGCAACGCCGCGUGAGUGAUGAAGGUCUUCGGAUCGUAAAACUCUGUUAUUAGGAAAGAACAAAAGCGUAAGUAACUGUGAACGUAUUGACGGUACCUAAUCAGAAAGCCCCGGCUAACUUCGUG